CUUGUAGCAUAAAUUAAUGUGUAGAUUUUAGAGAUCUAAGAUAAAUAAUUCAAG
Molecule: transfer RNA, 54 nt
Filed under: Nothopoda sp.
Lineage: Eukaryota; Metazoa; Arthropoda; Arachnida; Trombidiformes; Eriophyidae
Description: tRNA-Leu
Source: RNAcentral